GACGAACGCUGGCGGCAUGCCUAAUACAUGCAAGUCGAGCGAACAGAUGAAGUGCUUGCACUUCUGACGUUAGCGGCGAACGGGUGAGUAACACGUAAGGAAUCUACCUAUAAGCGGGGGAUAACAUUCGGAAACGGGUGCUAAUACCGCAUAAUAUCUUCUUCCGCAUGGAAGAAGAUUGAAAGACGGCUCUGCUGUCACUUAUAGAUGACCUUGCGGUGCAUUAGUUAGUUGGUGGGGUAACGGCCUACCAAGACGAUGAUGCAUAGCCGACCAGAGAGGGUGAUCGGCCACAUUGGGACUGAGACACGGCCCAAACUCCUACGGGAGGGAGCAGUAGGGAAUCUUCCGCAAUGGGCGAAAGCCUGACGGAGCAAUGCCGCGUGAGUGAAGAAGGCCUUCGGGUCGUAAAACUCUGUUAUAAGAGAAGAACAAAUUGUAGAGUAACUGCUACAGUCUUGACGGUAUCUUAUCAGAAAGCCACGGCUAACUACGUGCCAGCCGCCGCCGUAA
Molecule: ribosomal RNA, 513 nt
Filed under: uncultured bacterium
Lineage: Bacteria
Description: partial 16S ribosomal RNA
Rfam family: Bacterial small subunit ribosomal RNA
Source: RNAcentral